UGUGUGUAUGUUAAGGGUGCUUGUAUGGGUGUAGGGGGACUGUGAGGGGUUAAGGAGGGGCUGUAUGGGUGCUGAAGGGGCUGAGAAGAAUGUGUGUAUGAUAAGGGUGCUUGUAUGGGGUGCGAGAGGCUGAGGAGGAUGUGAACAGGCUAAGGGUAUUUUGUGUGGGUGAGAAAUGAAGACCAGUGAGGAAGGUUAUGAAGGAAAGAAAGGUGAAGCAGGUGUCUUUAAGAGGAGACACAAGACUACCAACUCAAGAAGCUUAUAAUGGGAGGUGAAGGGAAAGGUGAAGCAGGUGUUUUUAAGAAGAGACACAAGACUACCAACUCAAGAAGCUUAUAAUGGGAGGUGCAGGGAAAGGUGAACCAAGUGUCCGACGGGAACCGAGGCUUUGAGGCGUCCAGAGGAUAAAAUGGUGUAAGGGAAGAGCCAUUAAUUCUAGUUUGCACUGGGAAAGGCAGACUACACAUCCCAGGAAGAAGAAACAAGAUGCAGGGGAAAAGCGACUUUGUAUUUGGUGUAUCGAGGGUUGCUUUUCCCCUGUAACUUGUACCUUGUUCUUCCUGGGAUGUGCGCUGCGGUGCAGUGAAAAAAAGCAGAAAAUAAUGGCUCUGUCCCAUAGCCUCCCCCUUUUUCCUGCCUUGCCCAGUGAAAACAAACCAGAAAAUAAUGGCUCUGUCCCCUACCUCCCACCCCCUCUUCCUGCCUUGCCCAGUGAAAACAAACCAGAAAAUGAUGGCUCUGUCCCUCAUCUCCCUUCUCCUGACUCCCCAUUUGUGGCAGCAGGCAGAAGGAAAGACUCAGUAGCUGUCUUUGCAUGCCAGCUUGUACUCGUUACCUCGGUGCGUCCAUCCUGAAUGCGGUGGGCUGGUGCGGGCUGCAGCUGCAUCACUUCGGGGAGACGGUGUCCGUCCCCUUCUGGCAGGACUGGUGGGAACCGGUCAGCUUCUGCGACAAGAUCAACAAGAACCUGAGGAAGAAGCUGCCAUGCUCUGCCUCCUUGGUACGGCCACUUGCUCACACUUCAGUUCAGUUUUGUUCAGUUUUCUUCAGCUCAGUUCACUUGAGGCUCCUUGGUGUUGUGCCUUGCUCACUCUGUCCAUUGUUUGAAUGUUUUCCCUUUACUGCUUCCUCUGGGCUAAAAUCAUCGCAGAGUCUUCAGCACGACACAAGGAAUCAAUCUUCUCCGUCGGGGACAAAACUGCGGGAGUCAGCUGAUCCAAGCGAGACUCCAGCCCUGAGAGGCGGUCGUUGGCUGCAUCAUGGUCCUUCUCCAGCACCACAUUUUUUUUUUUUUUUUUUUACAACAAAGGAGGCAGCUCAAGGGCACACAAAAAAAGAAAACAAUAAUAAAAAAAAGCCCGCUACUCGCUGCUCCUAAAAAAGAAACAAAAGAGGUGGCCGAAAGGAAGAUCAAAUACGGGAGGAGAGGUGUCCUGAUACCCUCCUCUUGAAAGAGUUCAAGUCGUAGGCAGGAGAAAAUACAGAUGAAGGAAGAUUGUUCCAGAGUUUACCAGCGUGAGGGAUGAAAGAAUGAAGAUGCUGGUUAACUCUUGCAUAAGGGGUUUGGACAGUAUAGGGAUGGGCAUGAGUAGAAAGUCGAGUGCAGCGGGGCCGCGGGAGGAGAGGAGGCAUGCAGUUAGCAAGUUCAGAAGAGCAGUCAGCGUGGAAAUAUCGAUAGAAGAUAGAAAGAGAGGCAACAUUGCGGCGGAAUUUAAGAGGUAGAAGACUAUCAGUAUGAGGAGGAGAGCUGAUGAGACGAGGAGCCUUAGCCUCCACUCUGUCCAGAAGAGCUGUGUGGUGGAGCCC
This is a long non-coding RNA of Eriocheir sinensis (Chinese mitten crab), 1809 nucleotides long. RefSeq lists it as uncharacterized. The transcript has 3 exons. The record is from RefSeq and is a predicted model, not a curated record. Lineage: Eukaryota; Metazoa; Arthropoda; Malacostraca; Decapoda; Varunidae.